CAUGUGCAGUCAUUCCAUAAGUGGAAAUAAUGGAGAUCUGAUUAAGCUACCCUGGGUGGGAUGGCACACAAUUAUGCCACUCCCUCACUCUGAGAGCAAAGGAGGCACAGAAGGACAGCUCACACCUGACUUUAAAGGAUGGCAACAGAGACAAUAUUAAUUAAGAGACUAGGAGUGGCACAAGCUGGACCAUAUUUCUGAUAAAUUUGCUUUUUGAAAAAUGAUUCUACAGGAAGAAAAUGGCCAAAAAAAGAUGUUGAUUUUCUUUCCCUGGAUCCCUCCCGCUCUAUGUGCAAAGAUCAUAGUGACGUGCCAAAGAGAGGCAGGGGCCAAGCGUUCUGCUGCAGCGACAUAGUGGCUGAAACUUCAUUUCCAAUGAGGACAGUGCCCAGGAAUGUGAGCAGUACCUUCUGAAGAUGUGCCAUGCUGUGCCAGCAGGAACGUCCCUUCAUGGGAGGGGAGAGAAGAGAGCACGGGAGCCAAACAGGCUGAAAGCAGGCAGCCUUGGACCGGGGGAAGGUCUGGGAACCAAGAUGUUGUUGGAAGGAAGAGAAUAUUUAUUGACACGUGAUGAUGAGCAGGACUCUCAUUUCAUCUCUCGAGUAACACUGUGAGACAGGGGAACUGAAGCUCAGAAAAUUUGCUCAUGCUCUAUAGCUACUCAACAGCAAGGCUGGAGGUGAAAUCUAACUUCAACACCCAUGCUCCUGAUGACGAUGGCAUACUUUCCACACUUUACCUCGCCAUCCACCCAGCAUAAUGGUGAAACUGAAAUAUGAAAAAGAUAUUGUGGAACUUGCCUCCAAGGACAGACUUGUACCUGAGAUAGGAUGCAAACCUAUGCUGUCUGAUUCCAGAGUCGGUGUCCUCGAUCUCUGCAUUCUACUGCUUGGGUGGCAGAGCAUGACCUGUGUGGAAAUGGGAGCAGCUGCAGCGCCCAGCCCGGAGGCAGGGGAGGGCUGUCCGCUGGAUCACAGUUCCACGGUUCGCCGCCUUGGUCAGGUUCUCGUCCUCCCGCUGCAUUACUCAUGGACGCUGUUACUAAUCAUGCUUACUCACACUGAUUUCUUUUUUCUCCCUGAGGACGAACUACCUCAUCCCUCCCUAAUUUAAUGGCUGAAAUUAGGCAAAAGCAGCCAUCUGAUACAUGUUAGGCAUCACCCCAGAAAGGAAGUCAUCACACAAGAUAUUACAAAAAACCUUUUAAUGUUUCUAUUCUCUUAACUGCCCAUGCAAAUCAGGUAGAAGAAUUCCAAAUGGAGAAAAAGAUGCUCGAAGCUGUGGCUGUCAUGACCUUUCCUGUGUCAGGUCACCCGGAGAACGUACCUUUGCGCUGGGCUGUUUCUCCCCAGCAGCAAAUGCUGAGCCUCCUGCGUGUCAGAUACAUCACAUGCGCUCUCAUCGGGGUUACAGCACAGGGAAGUUUUAUCGCCAUCACCCUCAUUUCAUAAAUGAGGAAACUGAGGCUCGCAGAAGUGAAAGGACUAGCUGGAGGUUAGCCAGUGAGUGGUGGAUUCAAACCUAGGACUAGCUUGACUCUAUGAUCUCUUUCUACCUCUCUCUACGGGCUAGCUCUUUUCCCUCUUCCCAGGGCCCCCGAUUGACACUGUAAGUUAAAGGGAUUCGGUGAAGCUGGCAAUAGCCAGUCCUGUGAACACUGGCAUUUUUAUGAUGCGUUGGGUCUCACCUAUGCUCUGGCUGACUAAAGCUUGUGGAAGAAUGAAGGUGAUGCCUGGGUCUGUCAUCUCUGGAUCCCUAGAUACAAGAGAUACCUCAGCUCUGUAGAGCUGGAUCUGGGCAGGCAAUGUCGUGUCACAGUGACCAUGUCCAGUAACAACUGGACUGCACCCAAGGGAACUUCGGAUAUACAUCUCUAUUUCUCCCUCACUAGAACUCAAAUGUGGCAUUUAGAAAUAUUUCUAAAUGUCAAAAACUACCAUGAAGAUAGAGUCUGACUGCCCCCCUCACUCACAC
Molecule: long non-coding RNA, 1974 nt
Organism: Canis lupus familiaris (dog)
Lineage: Eukaryota; Metazoa; Chordata; Mammalia; Carnivora; Canidae
Exons: 6
Source: RefSeq, a predicted model, not a curated record